RNAcentral lists this ribosomal RNA (782 nucleotides) under bacterium. Its description in RNAcentral is "bacterial SSU rRNA". It matches the Rfam family "Bacterial small subunit ribosomal RNA", at positions 56 to 849 of the family's 1533-position model. The record is from RNAcentral.
UGCAAGUCGAACGAUGAUCCGGUGCUUGCACCGGGGAUUAGUGGCGAACGGGUGAGUAACACGUGAGUAACCUGCCCUUGACUCUGGGAUAAGCCUGGGAAACCGGGUCUAAUACCGGAUACGACCUUUCACCGCAUGGUGGUUGGUGGAAAGAUUUUUUGGUUUUGGAUGGACUCGCGGCCUAUCAGCUUGUUGGUGAGGUAAUGGCUCACCAAGGCGACGACGGGUAGCCGGCCUGAGAGGGUGACCGGCCACACUGGGACUGAGACACGGCCCAGACUCCUACGGGAGGCAGCAGUGGGGAAUAUUGCACAAUGGGCGAAAGCCUGAUGCAGCGACGCCGCGUGAGGGAUGACGGCCUUCGGGUUGUAAACCUCUUUCAGCAGGGAAGAAGCGAAAGUGACGGUACCUGCAGAAGAAGCGCCGGCUAACUACGUGCCAGCAGCCGCGGUAAUACGUAGGGCGCAAGCGUUGUCCGGAAUUAUUGGGCGUAAAGAGCUCGUAGGCGGUUUGUCGCGUCUGCUGUGAAAGCCCGGGGCUCAACCCCGGGUCUGCAGUGGGUACGGGCAGACUAGAGUGCAGUAGGGGAGACUGGAAUUCCUGGUGUAGCGGUGAAAUGCGCAGAUAUCAGGAGGAACACCGAUGGCGAAGGCAGGUCUCUGGGCUGUAACUGACGCUGAGGAGCGAAAGCAUGGGGAGCGAACAGGAUUAGAUACCCUGGUAGUCCAUGCCGUAAACGUUGGGCACUAGGUGUGGGGGACAUUCCACGUUUUCCGCGCCGU